RNAcentral lists this ribosomal RNA (464 nucleotides) under uncultured bacterium. RNAcentral describes it as "partial 16S ribosomal RNA". It matches the Rfam family "Bacterial small subunit ribosomal RNA", at positions 29 to 507 of the family's 1533-position model. The record is from RNAcentral.
ACGAACGCUGGCGGCGUGCUUAACACAUGCCAGUCGAACGGAAAGGCCCCUUUGGGGGUACUCGAGUGGCGAACGGGUGAGUAACACGUGAGUAACCUGCCCUUGACUUCGGGAUAACUUCAGGAAACUGGGGCUAAUACCGGAUAGGAAUCCUUGCUGCAUGGUGGGGGUUGGAAAGCUUCGGCGGUUUUGGAUGGACUCGCGGCUUAUCAGCUUGUUGGUGGGGUAGUGGCUUACCAAGGCCUUGACGGGUAGCCGGCCUGAGAGGGCGACCGGCCACAUUGGGACUGAGAGACGGCCCAGACUCCUACGGGAGGCAGCAGUGGGGAAUAUUGCACAAUGGGCGGAAGCCUGAUGCAGAAACGCCGCGUGCGGGAUGACGGCCUUCGGGUUGGAAACCGCUUUCAGCAGGGGCGAAGCUUGUGGUGACGGUACCUGCAGAAGAAGCACCGGCUAACUACGUG